CAUCCGCUUUGAGAUGGACCCGCGGCGCAUUAGCUAGUUGGUGAGGUAACGGCUCACCAAGGCGACGAUGCGUAGCCGACCUGAGAGGGUGAUCGGCCACAUUGGAACUGAGACACAGUCCAGACUCCUACGGGAGGCAGCAGUGGGGAAUAUUGCGCAAUGGGGGAAACCCUGACGCAGCAACGCCGCGUGAAUGAUGAAGGCCUUCGGGUUGUAAAGUUCUGUCUUCUGGGACGAUAAUGACGGUACCAGAGGAGGAAGCCACGGCUAACUACGUGCCAGCAGCCGCGGUAAUACGUAGGUGGCAAGCGUUGUCCGGAUUUACUGGGCGUAAAGGAUGCGUAGGCGGACAUUUAAGUCAGAUGUGAAAUACCCGAGCUUAACUUGGGUGCUGCAUUUGAAACUGGGUGUCUAGAGUGCAGGAGAGGUAAGUGGAAUUCCUAGUGUAGCGGUGAAAUGCGUAGAGAUUAGGAAGAACACCAGUGGCGAAGGCGACUUACUGGACUAUAACUGACGCUGAGGCAUGAAAGCGUGGGGAGCAAACAGGAUUAGAUACCCUGGUAGUCCACGCCGUAAACGAUGAGUACUAGGUGGUCGGGGGUCGAACCUCGGUGCCGCAGUUAACACAAUAAGUAUUCCGCCUGGGGGAGUACGAUCGCA
This 660-nucleotide ribosomal RNA is filed under the name uncultured bacterium. RNAcentral's name for it is "bacterial SSU rRNA". It matches the Rfam family "Bacterial small subunit ribosomal RNA", at positions 212 to 890 of the family's 1533-position model. The record is from RNAcentral.